CUACAGUCCGUGUACUAACAUUAAAACUUACAUGGAUAAGAUUAGCAUGGCCCUGCAUAAGAAUGACAUGGAAAUUCGGCAAGUAUUCAUCAAUAUU
This 97-nucleotide small nuclear RNA is filed under the name Microtus ochrogaster (prairie vole). Lineage: Eukaryota; Metazoa; Chordata; Mammalia; Rodentia; Cricetidae. The record is from RNAcentral.